RNAcentral lists this ribosomal RNA (429 nucleotides) under Actinomycetes bacterium. RNAcentral's name for it is "Actinobacteria bacterium partial 16S ribosomal RNA". It matches the Rfam family "Bacterial small subunit ribosomal RNA", at positions 355 to 776 of the family's 1533-position model. Lineage: Bacteria; Bacillati; Actinomycetota; Actinomycetes. The record is from RNAcentral.
UAGGGAAUCUUCCGCAAUGGGCGAAAGCCUGACGGAGCAACGCCGCGUGAGUGAUGAAGGUCUUCGGAUCGUAAAACUCUGUUAUUAGGGAAGAACAAAUGUGUAAGUAACUAUGCACGUCUUGACGGUACCUAAUCAGAAAGCCACGGCUAACUACGUGCCAGCAGCCGCGGUAAUACGUAGGUGGCAAGCGUUAUCCGGAAUUAUUGGGCGUAAAGCGCGCGUAGGCGGUUUUUUAAGUCUGAUGUGAAAGCCCACGGCUCAACCGUGGAAGGUCAGUGGAAACUGGAAAACUUGAGUGCAGAGGAGGAAAGUGUGAUUCCGUGUGUAGCGGUGAAAUGCGCAGAAAUAUGGAGGAACACCAGUGGCGAAGGGGACUAUCUGAUCUGUAACUGACGCUGAUGUGCGAAAGCGUGGGGAUCAAACAGG